CCUACGGGAGGCAGCAGUGGGGAAUUUUGGACAAUGGGCGAAAGCCUGAUCCAGCAAUGCCGCGUGCAGGAAGAAGGCCUUCGGGUUGUAAACUGCUUUUGUACGGAACGAAACGGUCUGCUUUAAUACAGUGGGCUAAUGACGGUACCGUAAGAAUAAGCACCGGCUAACUACGUGCCAGCAGCCGCGGUAAUACGUAGGGUGCGAGCGUUAAUCGGAAUUACUGGGCGUAAAGCGUGCGCAGGCGGUUAUAUAAGACAGUUGUGAAAUCCCCGGGCUCAACCUGGGAAUUGCAUCUGUGACUGUAUAGCUAGAGUACGGUAGAGGGGGAUGGAAUUCCGCGUGUAGCAGUGAAAUGCGUAGAUAUGCGGAGGAACACCGAUGGCGAAGGCAAUCCCCUGGACCUGUACUGACGCUCAUGCACGAAAGCGUGGGGAGCAAACAGGAUUAGAUACCCUGGUAGUCCACGCCCUAAACGAUGUCAACUGGUGUUGGGUGCAUUAGUACUCAGUAACGAAGCUAACGCGUGAAGUUGACCGCCUGGGGGAGGACGGCGCGAGUAGUUAAGUUACGAAUUAGAGUUAGAGGCGNGNGAGNGCGAGGACGACGACGAGGGAGGAGG
RNAcentral lists this ribosomal RNA (622 nucleotides) under uncultured bacterium. Its description in RNAcentral is "bacterial SSU rRNA". The stretch from base 1 to 541 matches the Rfam family "Bacterial small subunit ribosomal RNA", at positions 338 to 873 of the family's 1533-position model. The record is from RNAcentral.